GCAAGUCGAACGGUAACAUGAAGUGCUUGCCCUUUGAUGACGAGUGGCGCACGUGUGCGUAACACGUAUACACUCUUCCUUUUACAGAGGGAUAGCCCAGAGAAAUUUGGAUUAACACCUCAUGGUAUUGAGAAUUGGCAUCGAUUUUCAAUUAAAACUCCGGUGGUAAGAGAUGAGUAUGCGUUCUAUUAGCUAGAUGGUAAGGUAACGGCUUACCAUGGCAACGAUAGAUAGGGGCCCUGAGAGGGGGAUC
RNAcentral lists this ribosomal RNA (253 nucleotides) under uncultured bacterium. RNAcentral's name for it is "partial 16S ribosomal RNA". It matches the Rfam family "Bacterial small subunit ribosomal RNA", at positions 57 to 305 of the family's 1533-position model. The record is from RNAcentral.